Molecule: ribosomal RNA, 292 nt
Filed under: uncultured bacterium
Lineage: Bacteria
Description: partial 16S ribosomal RNA
Rfam family: Bacterial small subunit ribosomal RNA
Source: RNAcentral
GUGCCAGCAGCCGCGGUAAUACGAAGGGGGCUAGCGUUACUCGGAAUUACUGGGCGUAAAGCGUGCGUAGGUGGUUCGUUAAGUCUGUCGUGAAAGCCCCGGGCUCAACCUGGGAAUGGCGAUGGAUACUGGCGGGCUAGAGUGCGGUAGAGGAGAGUGGAAUUCCCGGUGUAGCAGUGAAAUGCGUAGAGAUCGGGAGGAACAUCAGUUGCGAAGGCGGCUCUCUGGACCAGCACUGACACUGAGGCACGAAAGCGUGGGGAGCAAACAGGAUUAGAUACACCUGUAGUCC